Molecule: long non-coding RNA, 1425 nt
Organism: Neofelis nebulosa (Clouded leopard)
Lineage: Eukaryota; Metazoa; Chordata; Mammalia; Carnivora; Felidae
Exons: 3
Source: RefSeq, a predicted model, not a curated record
UGCGGGCAAGAACGUUUGAGACCUAGAGCCUCUUUCACACACACCCACCUUCUCAGUCAGGGAGGCUUGUGGCUGAGAAGGCCCCAGGGUGUGGCUGGAGGCGAGAACUUCUACAAUAAAGGGGUCUCUGUCCUCCUCCGGAAUCCGCCCCACCUCUCCACACCCACCCAGCCCUGUGGCCGGAACAGGGCUCCACGCUGGGGAGACCCAGACCCGAAGCCCCCGCAGACUAUUUGCUUCUCUCCCAGGAAGGUCCAGUGCCCCACUGCUACCCCAGGACCUUCAGCCUGGUCCUGGAUAUCCACUCGAGUUCAGCCAGCUCCCAGAGAAUAUUUGAGUUCAGCUUGUUCCUGGAGCCAGGAGGCGUGUCUCCAGGCCAGCCCCUCCUCCCUGGGUUCUCCUUGGUCCAGGUGAACCUCCAUGCCUAGAGGACAGGGGCAGACUGAGGACUCUCCAGCGCUAGCCCAAGGUCAGACGGGACAAUGGAUGAAAAGUAACUGAGGCACAGAGACUGGCAGGCGCUGCCCGAGGCCACCCAGUCCAGGUCACCAGCUCCAUGUUCCAUGGUUUAGGCUCCGGGUGAGGCUGGACGGGGACUGUGGCUAAACACUCUCAUUUGAUGCUACCAUGUAAAAUGUGGAACAUGAGGUCACUCACCUGCUGCAGGGCCACAUCUUCCAGAAGAUUCAUAGGAACUGCAGGAGGCCCUGGGAGGUCCUCAGGGGCUUCCCCCCAGGGCGGAGCCCGCAACCUUCUUCCCCAGGGCCCUCAGAGAAGGAGCUGGGUUACGUGGCUCAGAGGUACUUGGAGCAGAGCACUGAGGCAGGCAGGAAGUCCGCUUUGGUAUUCUGUGUACUUUAUCUUUAAAAGACAUUCAAAUUUUGAAUUUUACUCCGUAAGAUCUCCUAUUUUGCUUUAAUAUAAAAAGCAAUGCUUGGGGCGCCUGGGUGGCUCAGUCAGUGAAGCAUCCGACUCUUGAUCUCAGCUCAGGUCUAGCUAGUGUGUGAGCUGGGUGUAAAGCCUACUUAAACAAACAAACAAACAAACAAACAGACAAACAGAGGUGCCUGGAUGGCUCAAUUGGUUAAGUGCCCGACUUCCCCUCAGGUCAUGAUCUCUCAGUUCGUGAGUUCGAGCCCCACAUCAGGCUCUGCGCUGACAGCUCAGAGCCUGGAGCCUGCUUCGGAUUCUGUCUCCCUCUCUCCCUGCCCCUCCCCUGCUCUCACUCUGUCUCUCUCAGAAAUAAAUACACAUUUAAAAAAAUUAAAACAGACAAAUGAAAAACAAAACAAGGCGUACGUGGGUGGCUCUGUCGGUUAAGCAUCUUGGUUUUGGCUCAGGUCACGAUCUCACGGGUAGUGGGUUUGAUCCCCACUUCAGGCUCUUCACGGACGGUGUGGAGCCUGCUUGGGAUUCUGUCUCUCU